Molecule: ribosomal RNA, 499 nt
Filed under: uncultured bacterium
Lineage: Bacteria
Description: bacterial SSU rRNA
Rfam family: Bacterial small subunit ribosomal RNA
Source: RNAcentral
AUUGAACGCUGGCGGAAUGCUUUACACAUGCAAGUCGAACGGUAGAGGGGGCAACCCCUCGAGAGUGGCGAACGGGUGAGUAAUAUAUCGGAACGUGCCCAGUCGUGGGGGAUAACGUAGCGAAAGUUACGCUAAUACCGCAUACGAUCUACGGAUGAAAGCGGGGGAUCGCAAGACCUCGCGCGAUUGGAGCGGCAGAUAUCAGAUUGGGUAGCUGGUGAGGUAAAGGCUCACCAAGCCAACGAUCUGUAGCUGGUCUGAGAGGACGACCAGCCACACUGGAACUGAGACACGGUCCAGACUCCUACGGGAGGCAGCAGUGGAGAAUUUUGGACAAUGGACGCAAGUCUGAUCCAGCCAUUCCGCGUGCAGGAUGAAGGCCCUCGGGUUGUAAACUGCUUUUGUACGGAACGAAAAGGUCUCUCUUAAUACGGGGGGCUCAUGACGGUACCGUAAGAAUAAGCACCGGCUAACUACGUGCCAGCCGCCGCCGUAACAC